Molecule: ribosomal RNA, 253 nt
Filed under: uncultured bacterium
Lineage: Bacteria
Description: partial 16S ribosomal RNA
Rfam family: Bacterial small subunit ribosomal RNA
Source: RNAcentral
UACGUAGGGGGCAAGCGUUAUCCGGAUUUACUGGGCGUAAAGCGCGUUAAGGCGGUUGGCAAAGUUAGGGGUGAAAUUUCAGGGCUCAACCCUGAAACUGCCUCUAAUACUGGUCGGCUAGAGUGCGAGAGAGGAAGGUGGAAUUCCCGGUGUAGUAGUGAAAUGCGUAGAUAUCGGGAGGAACACCAGUGGCGAAGGCGGCCUUCUGGCUCGCAACUGACGCUGUAGCGCGAAAGCGUGGGGAGCGAACGGG